This is a non-coding RNA of Hemicordylus capensis (graceful crag lizard), 73 nucleotides long. The record is from the annotation of a RefSeq genome assembly. Lineage: Eukaryota; Metazoa; Chordata; Lepidosauria; Squamata; Cordylidae.
GCUCCAGUAGUGCAAUGGAUAGCAUACUGGACUUCUAAUUCAGAGGUUGUGAGUUUGAUUCUCACCUGGAGCA